UACGGAGGGAGCUAGCGUUGUUCGGAAUUACUGGGCGUAAAGCGCACGUAGGCGGCUUUGUAAGUUAGGGGUGAAAGCCUGGAGCUCAACUUCAGAAUUGCCCUUAAGACUGCAUCGCUUGAAUCCAGGAGAGGUGAGUGGAAUUCCGAGUGUAGAGGCGAAAUUCGUAGAUAUUCGGAAGAACACCAGUGGCGAAGGCGGCUCACUGGACUGGUAUUGACGCUGAGGUGCGAAAGCGUGGGGAGCAAACAGG
This 253-nucleotide ribosomal RNA is filed under the name uncultured bacterium. Its description in RNAcentral is "partial 16S ribosomal RNA". It matches the Rfam family "Bacterial small subunit ribosomal RNA", at positions 524 to 776 of the family's 1533-position model. The record is from RNAcentral.